This is a long non-coding RNA of Equus asinus (donkey), 4107 nucleotides long. Lineage: Eukaryota; Metazoa; Chordata; Mammalia; Perissodactyla; Equidae. The record is from Ensembl.
CCCGCCCCCGGAGCCGGGACUCGAGGCCCCGGGGCUCCGGACGAGGUGUCAGAGGCCAGGGAGCCUCGGCGGCGGCCGGCGCCCACGCAGCCCCGGGCGGCCCAGCGAAGCGAGGGCGAGGUGAGGGGCGCGUCCACGGCCGAGCUCGAGCGGACGCUGGUUCCUCCUCCCGCGCGGGCUCCCGGGACAAUACGACACUGACCCUGGUCGUCGUCACGCUCCUUGCCCGGGAGCCGCUGCCGCCGGCUGGAAAGCAGAGGCCCGGGCGUGAGCGCCCCCCCUCCGGCAGGCCGCGCGGUAGCGCCGUCCCCGCCUCGCCCGCAUAAGGCAAGCGAGAAGGGACGCACUUCUGCCGCCUCGCAAAGCGGGGCGGAGCGGGCCGGCCGCUGGGGUUCGGUGGCGGGGGCCUGCCCGGAUCCCCCGAGGCGAGGAGGAUCGGGGCCUCGCAGCCUCCUCGCGACGGGCCAAGACCCUCUGGAGGAGGACAGCAAGUGAGGACUGGGGCGCCUGGAGGUCGCUAAGAUUCUCGCCCCCGGAGGGCGAGGAGGGGCUGCCUCUGCGAGCUGCCGCCCGCGAGUAGGGGACUCCGGCACGGAGGCUCCCCUGGGCGCUGCCUAUCCCCGGAGGGACAGGGAGCCUCCUAGCGGGGCCCGGCGCGCUCCCGACCCCAACGCGGAGCGACGGCUCCGACUCCGCCCUGCGGGCUGAGGGUCCCUCUGAACCCGAGCCCUGGCGGCCUCCUGCCGCCACCUGGUCACCGGGAGACGGCGAGUGGGGGCGGGGGUCUCGGCCGCUGCAGUGAAGGCAGCAGAGAGGAGCACGCGCUUCCAGAGCGUCCAGGAGAACUCGCUGAAAUAUGCCGCCCAGACAUGCCACACUGCAGGGUGUCCUUGGAGAUGCUGGGAAAAGAGAAGAACGGUGUACAGACGAGCUUAGAAUGCGGGAAUGAGUGAGGCUGGAGGGAAAGUAGUCGCUCCCGCUACCCCUGUCCAGGAGGAAGGUGCUGAUUGCAGCUUCCAGUCCUCUGGGCCGAGAGCAGGGGUUGCCGCUCCCAGCGCCGUCCUGCCUGGGCGCGGUCCCCGCCGCGUGUGCAAAGUACACACAGAAGAAGCAGGAGAGUGCUGGAAGGAAACACACCAGAGUGUUCGCAGUGGUUAACUACAGUAGUAAAUUGUGUGUGGUUUUCAUUUCCUGAUAUGGACUAUUGUCUGUUUUCUACAACUUUUCCAGAGUUUUUACAAAAGGCAUAGAUUGCCCUCACAAUCAGAAAAAAAUUAAAACUUUUGACAUUGAAAUGGCGUCUACAGUAUGAUCUCAAUAACACAAACAUGCGCUGGAAAGACAGGAAGGAAAUGUGAAGGACCGUUAACAGUACAUCAUAAUUUUUUUCUUUGAGGAAGAUUAGCCCUGAGCUAACUACUGCCAAUCCUCCUCGUUUUUCUGAGGAAGACUGGCCCUGAGCUAACAUCCGUGCCCAUCUUCCUCUACUUUAUACGUGGGAGGUCUACCACAUGGCUUUUGCCAAGCAGUGCCAUGUCCCCACCAGGGGUCCAAACCGGGGAACCCCAGGCCGCUGAGAAGCGGAAUGUGCAAACCUAACCGUUGUGCCACCUGCGGCCCCAACGGUAUGUUAUUAUUAUUGACAACUAAGAUAUGGUCUCCUGUUUUACUUUGCGCUUUUCAGUAUUUUCCAUCUGAUGGAUAGAGAAAAUAAAGAGUUUAGAAGUAAAUUAGGUCGUUUUCUGUUCAAAACUCAAGCCAUGAGGUUCCAAUGAAAUAAAUUCAAAAGCCCUUGGGAACUAUAAAACAAAGGGCCUGUGUGAGUGUCGUUAUGAAGAGGAGCUUACAAUGUUUCUCUCUGUGAAUUAGCAAUCGCUUUCCAGUGUAUUACCUGUCUCUCUGUACAUGAAUCUGUUCCUCUGUGGCAAAGGCAACUUGCAAAGAAGCUGAUCAAGAUUCCAGAACUACCGGUCAAACUAGGUCCUGGAGGUUUACUUCAAGCUCCAGUCCCAGGGGCCCCUCCAGCCUCUCCCCAACAUGGCUGUAUUGACGAGAGCAGCAGAUAGUGAUGAGAGCCAUGGCUGUUCCCUCCCCACCUGAACAAAGAAGAGAAAGGCUCAUACUGGUCUUUCUGGAGGUUAAAGAGCAACAGGAGGGCUUCACUUGAUUGACAAAUCUAGAUGACCUGCGUAUUCUGUGGAAUUAGGCUUUGACAUUUUCAUCCAGGUACCCACGGUCUGUGAUGUACAAUAGUUUGACUUAACGAUCAUUCGACUUUACAGUGGUGAAAAAAAAAUAUGCAUUCUGUAGAAACUGUACUUGGAAUUUUGAAUGUUGAUCUUUUCCAAGGCUGCUGAUAUGCGGCCUGAUGCUCUCAUGAUGCUGGGCACUGGCAGUGAGCCACAGCUCAUGGUCACCACUCUGUCACAAGGGUAAACAUCCAGCGCACUUGCAGCCACUCUGUGCCCAGACAACCAUGCUGAGUUUCCCUCUCAGUACAGUAUUCAAUAAAUUACAUGAGGUUGGGGCCAGCCUGGUGGCGCAGCAGUUAAGUUCACACGUUCUGCUUCGGUGGCCCAGGGUUCACAGGCUUGGAUCCCAGGUGCAGACCUUUACACCACUUGUCAGGCCAUGCUGUGGCAGGUGUCCCACAUAUAAAGCAGAGAAAGAUGGGCACAGAUGUUAGCUCAGGGCCAGUCUUCCUCAGCAAAAAGAGGAGGAUUGGCGGCAGAUGUUAGCUCAGGGAUAACCUUACUCAAAAACAAAUAAAUAAAUAAACUACAUGAGGUAUUAACACUUUAUUGUAAAAUAGGCUUCGUGUAAGAUGUUUUGCCCAAGUGUAGGCUAACGUAGGUGUUCUGAGCACAUUUAAGGUAGGCUAGGCUAAGCUAAGAUGUUCAGUAGGUUAGACGUAUUAAAUGCAUUUUCGACUUAUGUUAUUUUCAACUUUCAAUGCGUUUAUUGGGAUGUAACCCCACUGCAAGUCAGGGAAGAUCUGUAGUUCAUUUGUCUGAAAAUCAAUAAAAUGAUUUUUCAAGCAGACCCUAUAGGCAUCUUCUUCUUUCUGCUGAGAAAUUCAUGUACUGUACAUAGCAAUGUUUUUAAAGGCCUAAAUGUGCUUUUUUUAUAUAUAUUUUACUCUGAAUUUUAAUAUAUUUGAUUAAUAGAAAACACCUUCCUCUAGUGACAAACUAACAUUUGCAUAUUCCUUGAGGGUGUAAAGUUUUUUCAUGUGUAUUGACUUACUUCCAGCCUCAUAACAGUCCUAUGAGGAGGAUAAAGGAGUUUUUAUCACUUUAUUAAUAUGAAGAAAAUGAGGCACAAAGAUGUUAAAUGAAUAUCACAAUUCAGCAAAUAAGAAGUUGGAAACUCAAGCUCAGUUCUGACCACCGAUUCAGUACUCUAACAUCCACUGAUUGCCCGGGGAUGCUGAGAUGAUUAGUCUAAUUUUUGUAUUUCUCUAACAACAUUUCAGUAGAUCUCUGUUACAGAAAUCUCAGAAAGAAUACAUGGGGUCCUAUUCCACGAUUCUGGCGUCAGCCUUUGGGACCAGCACUGCUCUAUGAAUAUUGACCUCAUCCACUGAAAACACUUGUGGGGCAGAAGACAAGUGUAGGUAAGCUCCGUCUCUAUGCAAAGCCUAAAAGAUCUGUUGCUAGAGUAAAAUACUAUCUGAAUUUCACAGGGAAGAAAGAAGUGCCAUGGGAUGUACAUUAUGCACACAUUUUACCAUUACAAGCGACGUGGUAAUGAAUAAAGAGCUAAUUGCAAUCCUAAAUUUUCAUGAGAUACAAUAAUAAGGACAAAAAGAGUUACAAAGUAAUUAUCAUUUUCGAUUACGCAACUUACGUUAGCCUUCCAAGUAUAUAAAGAACAUAAAAUAUAGCUUUUAAAAGUAAUAUAUUCUCAGAAAAACUUUCAGAGUUGUAGCUCUUAGGUUUAAGAAAUCUUUAAAACAGAGUUUAAUAAAAAAUAAAUCUAUUUUCCAGUAUGAUGUUGUCCCAUGAUGUCCUCAUUUCUUUUUGUUUUUGCCACUUAUUACAAAGUUAUAAAAAUCAAAUGUAAAGUGCCUUAUCAUCUGAGCCUCUGAAUAUAAUAAAAAUCCCC